This 496-nucleotide ribosomal RNA is filed under the name uncultured bacterium. RNAcentral describes it as "partial 16S ribosomal RNA". It matches the Rfam family "Bacterial small subunit ribosomal RNA", at positions 29 to 507 of the family's 1533-position model. The record is from RNAcentral.
AUGAACGCUGGCGGCGUGCCUAAUACAUGCCAGUCGCGCGAACAGACGAGGAGCUUGCUCCUCUGACGUUAGCGGCGGACGGGUGAGUAACACGUGGAUAACCUACCUAUAAGACUGGGAUAACUUCGGGAAACCGGAGCUAAUACCGGAUAAUAUAUUGAACCGCAUGGUUCAAUAGUGAAAGACGGUUUUGCUGUCACUUAUAGAUGGAUCCGCGCCGCAUUAGCUAGUUGGUAAGGUAACGGCUUACCAAGGCGACGAUGCGUAGCCGACCUGAGAGGGUGAUCGGCCACACUGGAACUGAGACACGGUCCAGACUCCUACGGGAGGCAGCAGUAGGGAAUCUUCCGCAAUGGGCGAAAGCCUGACGGAGCAACGCCGCGUGAGUGAUGAAGGUCCUCGGAUCGUAAAACUCUGUUAUUAGGGAAGAACAAAUGUGUAAGUAACUAUGCACGUCUUGACGGUACCUAAUCAGAAAGCCACGGCUAACUACGUG